Molecule: ribosomal RNA, 869 nt
Filed under: uncultured archaeon
Lineage: Archaea
Description: bacterial SSU rRNA
Rfam family: Archaeal small subunit ribosomal RNA
Source: RNAcentral
CGGUUGAUCCUGCCGGAGGCCACUGCUAUUGGGAUUCGACUAAGCCAUGCGAGUCGAGAGGGUUCGGCCCUCGGCUGACGGCUCAGUAACACGUGGAUAAUCUGCCCUAGGGUGGAGGAUAAUCUCGGGAAACUGAGAAUAAUACUCCAUAGAUCUAGGAUGCUGGAAUGCACCUAGAUUGAAAGCUCCGGCGCCCUAGGAUGAGUCUGCGGACUAUCAGGUAGUAGUCAGGGUAAUGACCUGACUAGCCUACGACGGAUACGGGUUGUGAGAGCAAUAACCCGGAGACGAUAUCUGAGACACGAUAUCGGGCCCUACGGGGCGCAGCAGGCGCGAAAACUUCACACUGUGCGAAAGCACGAUGAGGGAAUCCCAAGUGCCAGCUCGUAAGAGUUGGCUGUUUCUCUGUCUAAAAAACAGAGAGAGUAAGAGCUGGGUAAGACGGGUGCCAGCCGCCGCGGUAAUACCUGCAGCUCAAGUGGUGGCCACUAUUAUUGGGCCUAAAACGUCCGUAGCCGGUUUAGUAAAUGCCCGGGUAAAUCGUGUAGCUCAACUAUACGAAUUCCGGGUAGACUGCUAGACUUGAGACCGGGAGAAGCUAGAGGUACUCCUGGGGUAGAGGUGAAAUUCUGUAAUCCUAGGGGGACCACCAGUGGCGAAGGCGUCUAGCUAGAACGGGUCUGACGGUGAGGGACGAAGCCCUGGGGCGCAAACCGGAUUAGAUACCCGGGUAGUCCAGGGUGUAAACGCUGCUUGCUUGAUGUUAGUCGGGCUCCGAGCCCGAUUAGUGUCGGAAAGAAGUUGUUAAGCAAGCUGCCUGGGAAGUACGGCCGCAAGGCUGAAACUUAAAGGAAUUGGCGGGGGAGCAC